UACGUAGGGGGCUAGCGUUGUCCGGAUUUAUUGGGCGUAAAGAGCGUGUAGGCGGCCAAGCAGGUCCGCUGUGAAAACUCGAGGCUCAACCUCGAGACGUCGGUGGAAACCGUUUGGCUAGAGUCCGGAAGAGGAGAGUGGAAUUCCCGGUGUAGCGGUGAAAUGCGUAGAGAUGGGGGAGAACACUCGUGGCGAAGGCGGCCAGCUAGACCAGUUCUGACACUGAGGCGCGACAGCGUGGGGAGCAAACAGG
Molecule: ribosomal RNA, 253 nt
Filed under: uncultured bacterium
Lineage: Bacteria
Description: partial 16S ribosomal RNA
Rfam family: Bacterial small subunit ribosomal RNA
Source: RNAcentral